GACGAACGCUGGCGGCGUGCCUAAUACAUGCAAGUCGAACGCAGUGGGGACGGGUGAGUAACACGUGGGUAACCUCCCCUCAGAGGGGAUAACCCUUGGAAACAGGUGCUAAACCGAUAUUGAUGGAUGGACCCGCGGUGCAUUAGCUAGUUGGGGAGGUAACGGCUAACCAAGGCCACGAUGCAUAGCCGACCUGGGGGGGUGAUAGGCCACCUGGGGACUGAGACCGGGCCCAGACCCCUACGGUGGGCAGCAGUAGGAAUCUUCGGCAAUGGACGAAAGUCUGACCGAGCAAUGCCGCGUGAGUGAAGAAGGUCUUCGGAUCGUAAAACUCUGUUGUUAGAGAAGCGGUAUCUAACCAGAAAGCAACGGCUAACUACGUGCCAGCAGCCGCGGUAAUUC
Molecule: ribosomal RNA, 402 nt
Filed under: uncultured bacterium
Lineage: Bacteria
Description: partial 16S ribosomal RNA
Rfam family: Bacterial small subunit ribosomal RNA
Source: RNAcentral